GCUGCAGUCGAGGAUCUUUCGCAAUGAGCGAAAGCUUGACGAAGCGACGCUGUGUGAGGGAUGAAGGCCUUCGGGUUGUAAASCUCUUUCGCUUGGGAACAAGAGAGAGUGGUGAAUAGCUACUUGAUUUGAUGGGUACCGGGUAAAGAAGCACCGGCUAACU
RNAcentral lists this ribosomal RNA (163 nucleotides) under uncultured Chlamydiales bacterium. Its description in RNAcentral is "partial 16S ribosomal RNA". It matches the Rfam family "Bacterial small subunit ribosomal RNA", at positions 348 to 502 of the family's 1533-position model. The record is from RNAcentral. Lineage: Bacteria; Pseudomonadati; Chlamydiota; Chlamydiia; Chlamydiales.